Molecule: ribosomal RNA, 497 nt
Filed under: uncultured bacterium
Lineage: Bacteria
Description: partial 16S ribosomal RNA
Rfam family: Bacterial small subunit ribosomal RNA
Source: RNAcentral
GACGAACGCUGGCGGCGUGCCUAAUACAUGCAAGUUGAGCGCUGAAGGUUGGUACUUGUACCAACUGGAUGAGCAGCGAACGGGUGAGUAACGCGUGGGGAAUCUGCCUUUGAGCGGGGGACAACAUUUGGAAACGAAUGCUAAUACCGCAUAAAAACUUUAAACACAAGUUUUAAGUUUGAAAGAUGCAAUUGCAUCACUCAAAGAUGAUCCCGCGUUGUAUUAGCUAGUUGGUGAGGUAAAGGCUCACCAAGGCGAUGAUACAUAGCCGACCUGAGAGGGUGAUCGGCCACAUUGGGACUGAGACACGGCCCAAACGCCUACGGGAGGCAGCAGUAGGGAAUCUUCGGCAAUGGACGAAAGUCUGACCGAGCAACGCCGCGUGAGUGAAGAAGGUUUUCGGAUCGUAAAACUCUGUUGGUAGAGAAGAACGUUGGUGAGAGUGGAAAGCCCAUCAAGUGACGGUAACUACCCAGAAAGGGACGGCUAACUACGUG